RNAcentral lists this transfer RNA (71 nucleotides) under Candidatus Nealsonbacteria bacterium RBG_13_36_15. Its description in RNAcentral is "tRNA-Gly". It matches the Rfam family "tRNA". Rfam says of the family: Transfer RNA (tRNA) molecules are approximately 80 nucleotides in length. The record is from RNAcentral. Lineage: Bacteria; Candidatus Nealsoniibacteriota.
GCGGGUAUAGUAUAGUGGUAGUACGGAACCCUUCCAAGGUUCAAGCACGGGUUCAACCCCCGUUACCCGCU